RNAcentral lists this ribosomal RNA (895 nucleotides) under uncultured bacterium. Its description in RNAcentral is "bacterial SSU rRNA". It matches the Rfam family "Bacterial small subunit ribosomal RNA", at positions 29 to 902 of the family's 1533-position model. The record is from RNAcentral.
GUGAACGCUGGCGGCGUGCUUAACACAUGCAAGUCGUGCGCGAUUGGGGGCAACUCCAGUUGAGCGGCGAACGGGUGCGUAACACGUGGUUAACCUACCGAAAUGUGGGGGAUACCCCGGGGAAACUCGGGACAAUACCGCAUGAGCUCCCUGAGGCGAAAGCCAUGGGGAAGAAAGCCGGGGACCGCAAGGCCUGGCGCAUUUCGAGGGGACCGCGGCCGAUUAGCUAGUUGGCGGGGUAAUGGCCCACCAAGGCGACGAUCGGUAGCCGGCCUGAGAGGGUGAUCGGCCACACCGGAACUGAGACACGGUCCGGACUCCUACGGGAGGCAGCAGUGGGGAAUUUUGCGCAAUGGGCGAAAGCCUGACGCAGCAACGCCGCGUGGAGGAUUGAAGGUGCUCUGCACUGUAAACUCCUGUCGCCCGGGAAGAAGGGGUGGAUGGUAAAUAGCCGUCUGCUUUGACUGUACCGGGAGAGGAAGCCCCGGCUAACUCCGUGCCAGCAGCCGCGGUAAUACGGAGGGGGCAAGCGUUACUCGGAAUUAUUGGGCGUAAAGGGCGCGUAGGCGGUCUUGUGCGUCGGAGGUGAAAUCCCCGGGCUUAACCCGGGAGCUGCCUCCGAUACGGCAGGACUUGAGUCCGGGAGAGGAGAGCAGAAUUCCCAGUGUAGCGGUGAAAUGCGUAGAUAUUGGGAGGAAUACCAGUGGCGAAGGCGGCUCUCUGGACCGGUACUGACGCUGAGGCGCGAAAGCAUGGGGAGCAAACAGGAUUAGAUACCCUGGUAGUCCAUGCUGUAAACGAUGGGUGCUUGGUGUCGGGGGUAUCGACCCCUCCGGUGCCGAAGCUAACGCAUUAAGCACCCCGCCUGGGGAGUACGGUCGCCAGGCUGAAACUC